Molecule: long non-coding RNA, 528 nt
Filed under: Gallus gallus (chicken)
Lineage: Eukaryota; Metazoa; Chordata; Aves; Galliformes; Phasianidae
Description: long non-coding RNA NONGGAT004630
Source: RNAcentral
CGCAUCACCUCUGGUUCUGGCGUUCCCCACGACGCACGUGCUUUGGCUGGGUUUUAUUUAAUCCACAGCACUGAGGAGCCUCGCUUCUUGUUUCUGGCAGCUGGAUUCCACCACUGGUUCCAGGUGGCUGAGAGACUGUAAAGUCAGAGCAGGGAGGAACAUGGGGAGAGAUGGACAGAUGCCCGUUUCCUUAUGAAACCAGGCUAAAAAUAGGUUCCCUAGACUUCCCGAGGAGGAGCUUCCCUGCGGUGAAAGCCAUCUGUUCAAUCCCCUGCACCAGAUACAUCCAGGUUUCCCCUGCUUGUUCUGCUAAACGUGAAAUGUUCCCAUAUCCAGGCCAGACAAAUCAAACCUGAUGACCCACUGAGGAGAGAUUCUCCAACCUUCUCCAACUCACAUCCUCAUGGCUGAGCCACAUUCCUUGAAAAUGCCAUCCCUUCGGUUAUAUGUUUUGCACUGCUUGUGUUCUUGAUGGGAAGAUUUUUAUCUGUAACAAUAACUUGCUUUCUCUGUAGCCCUUUCCUACCC